This 484-nucleotide ribosomal RNA is filed under the name uncultured bacterium. RNAcentral's name for it is "partial 16S ribosomal RNA". It matches the Rfam family "Bacterial small subunit ribosomal RNA", at positions 30 to 507 of the family's 1533-position model. The record is from RNAcentral.
AUUGAACGCUGGCGGCAGGCCUAACACAUGCAAGUCGAGCGGAUGAAGGGAGCUUGCUCCAGGAUUCAGCGGCGGACGGGUGAGUAAUGCCUAGGAAUCUGCCUGGUAGUGGGGGAUAACGUCCGGAAACGGGCGCUAAUACCGCAUACGUCCUGAGGGAGAAAGUGGGGGAUCUUCGGACCUCACGCUAUCAGAUGAGCCUAGGUCGGAUUAGCUAGUUGGUGGGGUAAAGGCCUACCAAGGCGACGAACCGUAACUGGUCUGAGAGGAUGAUCAGUCACACUGGAACUGAGACACGGUCCAGACUCCUACGGGAGGCAGCAGUGGGGAAUAUUGGACAAUGGGCGAAAGCCUGAUCCAGCCAUGCCGCGUGUGUGAAGAAGGUCUUCGGAUUGUAAAGCACUUUAAGUUGGGAGGAAGGGCAGUAAGUUAAUACCUUGCUGUUUUGACGUUACCAACAGAAUAAGCACCGGCUAACUUCGUG